This 1120-nucleotide long non-coding RNA is filed under the name Capra hircus (goat). Its description in RNAcentral is "lncRNA (ENSCHIG00010008122.1)". Lineage: Eukaryota; Metazoa; Chordata; Mammalia; Artiodactyla; Bovidae. The record is from RNAcentral.
UUUAUGUAUCCCUAUGGAAAAGUGUCACCAAUAAUAUACUGACCUCUUCAUCAUGAAGAAACACAUAAAACAUUUAAACACAAUCCCAGGCUCCAGUAGAAAGUGAAGAUGAGCCCCCGGGUGUGUGACAUUUCUGACACAGGCUUCUCCAACACCUGCUCGUCAGUCCAUCAGAGGAAACCUCGGGGCUGAAGACCCGCCAGCUCCCUGCAGAUUCCUUCCCAGAAUAGCAGGCGCUGAGCAGAGCGAGUCCAGCUGCAGCAGGCCAGGGUGGACCCGGGGUUUCUGUGGACAGCAACUGGCCCCCACGCUGGCCUUUUUUCAGCAUCUAAAUCGUUCUCUGCUCCGACAGCCGCUUUCCCCCUCUGACAUAUUCUUCCUUCCUGUCUGCUUUCCCCAGGGAGUCCCGGCCACAUGGUCCAGGGCAGGCUUCGUGGGGAGCUGCCCCUGAAGCUGUGGGCAGCUGUCCCCAUGUCCCUGCUUGUUGCAGCAAAUGUUCCCAGCUCUUGCUAUAUUUGAGAUUAUGUCCUUGGAGCAGACCUGGGAUGAAGUGGGUCAAAGGACGUGCCAUUUUGAUGUCGGCCAGGCGAAGAGGACUGGUUGCAGAUGCAGAGUCAUUUAAUCUGCCAUUUGCUCAGAUUAAACAGCGGCAAAUCAGCAAGCAGGCCCGCCCCAUAGAAGAGGGACUCUGGUUUAAGGUACUAACAUCAGUGAAGUUUAUUUUAACUCUCUGAAUUAAACAUACUGAAUUCAGAAUUUCUUGAUUACUCUAUAUUUUAUACCUAAAUGACUUCAAAAUUUUUUACUCUCUUGUAGGUUCACCAGGCAAGAAAGGAUGUAAAAAAAUUAAAAUGGCUUUAGCUCAUUGUGUGGUUAACUUGGGUUUUUUUUUUUUUGAUGGUUCAUGUAUUGAAUGCACACAAAUGCCAAGUAUAGGAAAAAAGGAGUUGAAAGUUUUCUUUAAUCUAACCCUCCACAGACAAUAACAAGGAUGGAAUGUGCUUGUUGCCCUUAACAAAAUAUUUGGGACAGUUUUUCCGUCUCACGUCUUGGUAUAUUAGAAAGUACAUGUUACAAAUUACUACAAUUAAUUAGGCAAAGAAUAAAGAGAAACAACAAU